GAUGAACGCUAGCGGGAGGCCUAACACAUGCAAGUCGAACGGGAUUGGGAGCUUGCUCCCAUGAGAGUGGCGCACGGGUGAGUAACGCGUAUGCAACCUACCUUUAACUGAGGGAUAGCCCAUAGAAAUGUGGAUUAAUACCUCAUAGUUCUAUUAGAUCGCAUGAUUUGAUAGAUAAAGCUCCGGCGGUUAAAGAUGGGCAUGCGUGACAUUAGUUUGUUGGUGAGGUAACGGCUCACCAAGACUACGAUGUCUAGGGGUUCUGAGAGGAUGAUCCCCCACACUGGUACUGAGACACGGACCAGACUCCUACGGGAGGCAGCAGUGAGGAAUAUUGGUCAAUGGGCGCAAGCCUGAACCAGCCAUCCCGCGUGCAGGAUGAAGG
RNAcentral lists this ribosomal RNA (385 nucleotides) under uncultured bacterium. Its description in RNAcentral is "bacterial SSU rRNA". It matches the Rfam family "Bacterial small subunit ribosomal RNA", at positions 28 to 414 of the family's 1533-position model. The record is from RNAcentral.